This 642-nucleotide unclassified non-coding RNA is filed under the name Hevea brasiliensis (rubber tree). Lineage: Eukaryota; Viridiplantae; Streptophyta; Magnoliopsida; Malpighiales; Euphorbiaceae. The record is from RNAcentral.
UAAAGAAAUUAGUAUUUUAAAGAAAAAACAAAAAAGGAAUACAAAACAUAUAUAUACAAAUUUAUUUUGCUUAACAGGUUGGUUAGGAAAGGAGGAAGGUUGUUUCUAGCUUGCAAAAGCUUCAAUUUAAAACACUUACUAAUACAUAUGGUUACAGCUUCUCCUUAUACCUUAAACCACUUCCUUAUAGCUUCUUGCACUCGAAUUACAAAGAUAAAACUCAUGCUUCUGGUCAGUGUGCCAACACUCAAUGCCCAUGACUUUGGUUUCACCACAUAGCAUGAAAGCAUUCAAAUAUAUAUUUGACAAUCAAUUAGAUGCAACACAAGCUAAAAAUUACUAAACCCUGCGAAUCUUACCCAGUUAAGCAGCAGAUAUCCUUUAAGGAAAGUUUUUAAUUGUUAGUCAUCCUUCCAAGACUAUAUUUGUAUAAUUUCUCAUUAAAUAAUUCCAGAUAAGUACUCUGAUUCAGGUUAAUGGCAAAUAGGGAAUGAAGAGAAGAACAUGAUCACAAACCUACAGGCAGCCAGAAAGCAAUGGCAAAAAGUAUUUCAGUUGCAAUCAAUCUCAAGAAGAGAUGUAUUCAAGACAGUAAAACAAUUGCCAAUAGAUAUGGGGAUAUAAAAAAAUUGCUAUAGGUAC